This 73-nucleotide transfer RNA is filed under the name Marmota marmota marmota (Alpine marmot). It matches the Rfam family "tRNA". Rfam says of the family: Transfer RNA (tRNA) molecules are approximately 80 nucleotides in length. Their secondary structure includes four short double-helical elements and three loops (D, anti-codon, and T loops). Further hydrogen bonds mediate the characteristic L-shaped molecular structure. tRNAs have two regions of fundamental functional importance: the anti-codon, which is responsible for specific mRNA codon recognition, and the 3' end, to which the tRNAs corresponding amino acid is attached (by aminoacyl-tRNA synthetases). tRNAs cope with the degeneracy of the genetic code in two manners: having more than one tRNA (with a specific anti-codon) for a particular amino acid; and 'wobble' base-pairing, i.e. permitting non-standard base-pairing at the 3rd anti-codon position. Lineage: Eukaryota; Metazoa; Chordata; Mammalia; Rodentia; Sciuridae. RNAcentral also lists the same sequence under 1 other name. The record is from Rfam by way of RNAcentral.
GGGGAUACAGCUCAGUUGGUAGAGUGCUUGCCUUGCAUGCACAAGGACCUGGGUUCAAUCCCCAGCACCAUUA